Molecule: ribosomal RNA, 352 nt
Filed under: Blaptostethus aurivillus
Lineage: Eukaryota; Metazoa; Arthropoda; Insecta; Hemiptera; Anthocoridae
Description: partial 16S ribosomal RNA
Source: RNAcentral
GUUCUUUAAUUGGGAACUAGUAUGAAUGGAUAGAUGAGGCAUUAACUUUAUUACUUUAUUAUAAAAAAUUUUAAUUUUUAGUUAAAAUGCUAAAAUAAUUUUAUUAGACGAUAAGACCCUAUAGAACUUUACAUAAAUUAUUUUGUAUUUUAUUUUUGUAAAUUGUAACUUAUUAGUUUAUGUUUUGUUGGGGUGACAAUUAUAUUUAUAUAACUAUAAUUAUUUUAUUCAAUGAUUUUUGUUUAUUGAUCCUUUUUAGAUUAAAAGACUAAGUUACCUUAGGGAUAACAGCGUAAUUCUGUUGGAGAGUUCUUAUUAAUAGCAGAGUUUGCGACCUCGAUGUUGGAUUAAA